GACGAACGCUGGCGGCGUGCUUAACACAUGCAAGUCGAACGGAAAGGCCCUGCUUUUGUGGGGUGCUCGAGUGGCGAACGGGUGAGUAACACGUGAGUAACCUGCCCUUGACUUUGGGAUAACUUCAGGAAACUGGGGCUAAUACCGGAUAGGAGCUCCUGCUGCAUGGUGGGGGUUGGAAAGUUUCGGCGGUUGGGGAUGGACUCGCGGCUUAUCAGCUUGUUGGUGGGGUAGUGGCUUAACAAGGCUUUGACGGGUAGCCGGCCUGAGAGGGUGACCGGCCACAUUGGGACUGAGAGACGGCCCAGACUGCUACUGUAGGCAGCAGGGGGGAAUAUUGCACAAUGGUCGGAAGCCUGAUGCAGCAACGCCGCGUGCGGGAUGACGGCCUUCGCGGUGUAAACCGCUUUCGCCUGUGACGAAGCGUGAGUGACGGUAAUGGGUAAAGAAGCACCGGCUAACUACGUG
Molecule: ribosomal RNA, 468 nt
Filed under: uncultured bacterium
Lineage: Bacteria
Description: partial 16S ribosomal RNA
Rfam family: Bacterial small subunit ribosomal RNA
Source: RNAcentral